AGAGUUUGAUCCUGGCUCAGAACGAACGCUGGCGGCGUGCCUAACACAUGCAAGUCGAGCGCGAAAGGAGCAAUCCGAGUAGAGCGGCGCACGGGUGCGUAACACGUGGGUAAUCUGCCUUAGAGUCGAGGAUAACUUUCCGAAAGGUUAGCUAAUACUCGGUAAGCUUACGGUGUCUUCGGACGCUGUGGGAAAAGUAGGCCUCUAUUUAUAAGCUUACGCUCUGAGAUGAGCCCGCGGCCCAUCAGCUAGUUGGCGGUGUAACGGACCACCAAGGCAACGACGGGUAGCUGGUCUGAGAGGACGAUCAGCCACACUGGAACUGAGACACGGUCCAGACUCCUACGGGAGGCAGCAGUGGGGAAUUUUCCACAAUGGGCGAAAGCCUGAUGGAGCAACGCCGCGUGUGUGAUGAAGGUUUUCGGAUCGUAAAGCACUUUCGACCGGGACGAAAAACCUCUGGCUAACAUCCAGGGGCCUGACGGUACCGGGAGAAGAAGCACCGGCUAACUCUGUGCCAGCAGCCGCGGUAAUACAGAGGGUGCAAGCGUUGUUCGGAAUUAUUGGGCGUAAAGCGCGUGUAGGCGGCUUGGCAAGUCAGAUGUGAAAGCCCUCGGCUUAACCGAGGAAGUGCGUCUGAAACUGCUGAGCUUGAGUGUCGGAGAGGAUGGCGGAAUUCCGCAAGUAGAGGUGAAAUUCGUAGAUAUGCGGAGGAACACCGGUGGCGAAGGCGGCCAUCUGGACGACUACUGACGCUGAGACGCGAAAGCGUGGGGAGCAAACAGGAUUAGAUACCCUGG
Molecule: ribosomal RNA, 800 nt
Filed under: uncultured bacterium
Lineage: Bacteria
Description: bacterial SSU rRNA
Rfam family: Bacterial small subunit ribosomal RNA
Source: RNAcentral